AAGACCUUGCGCUUUUGGAGCGGCCGAUGCCUGAUUAGCUUGUUGGUAAGGUAAAAGCUUACCAAGGCUUCGAUCAGUAGCUGGUCUGAGAGGACGACCAGCCACACUGGGACUGAGACACGGCCCAGACUCCUACGGGAGGCAGCAGUGGGGAAUUUUGGACAACGGGGGCAACCCUGAUCCAGCCAUGCCGCGUGAGUGAAGAAGGCCUUCGGGUUGUAAAGCUCUUUCAGCCGGAACGAAACGGUUACGGUUAAUACCCGUGACUACUGACGGUACCGGAAGAAGAAGCACCGGCUAACUACGUGCCAGCAGCCGCGGUAAUACGUAGGGUGCAAGCGUUAAUCGGAAUUACUGGGCGUAAAGCGUGCGCAGGUGGUUUUGUAAGUCAGAUGUGAAAUCCCCGGGCUCAACCUGGGAACU
RNAcentral lists this ribosomal RNA (423 nucleotides) under uncultured bacterium. RNAcentral's name for it is "bacterial SSU rRNA". It matches the Rfam family "Bacterial small subunit ribosomal RNA", at positions 207 to 622 of the family's 1533-position model. The record is from RNAcentral.